AUGAAACUGGCAUUUCAAGCCUUAGAGGGACUUCUUUCUUGGAGUGUCUCUUUCCAUUAUAUACACCCAAUUCUGGUUUUCUUGGGAAGGUUUCAUACUCCAAAAACAGCUCCCAUACUCCUCCAGAGCUAAAGAGCUGCUAUUUUGAUCAUGAAAGGUACAGUAAUGUCAUGGCAAAGAAGCCAACAACACUUGGAGAAUUGAUAAUGA
This 210-nucleotide unclassified non-coding RNA is filed under the name Hevea brasiliensis (rubber tree). The record is from RNAcentral. Lineage: Eukaryota; Viridiplantae; Streptophyta; Magnoliopsida; Malpighiales; Euphorbiaceae.